RNAcentral lists this ribosomal RNA (187 nucleotides) under Priestia flexa. RNAcentral's name for it is "Bacillus flexus partial 16S ribosomal RNA". It matches the Rfam family "Bacterial small subunit ribosomal RNA", at positions 1355 to 1533 of the family's 1533-position model. Lineage: Bacteria; Bacillati; Bacillota; Bacilli; Caryophanales; Bacillaceae. The record is from RNAcentral.
UGCCGCGGUGAAUACGUUCCCGGGCCUUGUACACACCGCCCGUCACACCACGAGAGUUUGUAACACCCGAAGUCGGUGGGGUAACCUUUAUGGAGCCAGCCGCCUAAGGUGGGACAGAUGAUUGGGGUGAAGUCGUAACAAGGUAGCCGUAUCGGAAGGUGCGGCUGGAUCACCUCCUUUCUAAGGA